UGGGGAAUAUUGCACAAUGGAGGGAACUCUGAUGCAGCGACGCCGCGUGAACGAAGAAGGCUUUCGAGUCGUAAAGUUCUUUUAUAUGGGAAGAUAAUGACGGUACCAUAAGAAAAAGCCCCGGCUAACUACGUGCCAGCAGCCGCGGUAAUACGUAGGGGGCUAGCGUUGACCGGAAUCACUGGGCGUAAAGGGUUCGCAGGCGGAAAUGCAAGUCAGGUGUAAAAGGCAGUAGCUUAACUACCGUAAGCAUUUGAAACUGCAUAUCUUGAGAAGAGUAGAGGUAAGUGGAAUUUUUAGUGUAGCGGUGAAAUGCGUAGAUAUUAAAAAGAAUACCGGUGGCGAAGGCGACUUACUGGGCUCAUUCUGACGCUGAGGAACGAAAGCGUGGGUAGCAAACAGG
Molecule: ribosomal RNA, 403 nt
Filed under: bacterium
Lineage: Bacteria
Description: partial 16S ribosomal RNA
Rfam family: Bacterial small subunit ribosomal RNA
Source: RNAcentral